GUGGGUAUAGCUUAGUGGCAGAGCACAUGCUUAGCAUGCAUGAGGUCCUAGGUUCAAUCCCCACUACCUCCA
RNAcentral lists this transfer RNA (72 nucleotides) under Camelus bactrianus (Bactrian camel). It matches the Rfam family "tRNA". From Rfam's summary of the family: Transfer RNA (tRNA) molecules are approximately 80 nucleotides in length. Lineage: Eukaryota; Metazoa; Chordata; Mammalia; Artiodactyla; Camelidae. RNAcentral also lists the same sequence under 2 other names. The record is from Rfam by way of RNAcentral.